RNAcentral lists this ribosomal RNA (253 nucleotides) under uncultured bacterium. RNAcentral describes it as "partial 16S ribosomal RNA". It matches the Rfam family "Bacterial small subunit ribosomal RNA", at positions 524 to 776 of the family's 1533-position model. The record is from RNAcentral.
UACGGAGGGUGCAAGCGUUGUUCGGAAUUAUUGGGCGUAAAGCGCGUGUAGGCGGCCUUGCAAGUCGGGUGUGAAAGCCCUCAGCUCAACUGAGGAAGUGCGCCUGAAACUGCAGAGCUUGAGUACCGGAGAGGAUGGUGGAAUUCCCGAAGUAGAGGUGAAAUUCGUAGAUAUCGGGAGGAACACCGGUGGCGAAGGCGACCAUCUGGACGGAUACUGACGCUGAGACGCGAAAGCGUGGGUAGCAAACAGG